CGUGCGGCGGAGCGGGAAGCGGGCGCGCGAAGAUGAGCCGGGACGACAAGAGCAGGGGCUUGAUCGGCGGCGGCGACCCCCAGCACCAGAGCCCGAACUACUACGGAACGUUCCAAGGCGUCGCGAACUACUAUAACCCUCCUCCUCCUCCUCCUCCUCCGCAGCCGCAGCCGCAGCUCCCCCAGCCGGUGAUCGGAUUCCCGCAGCCGGCUCCUCCUCCGGGCUCCCCCGGAUAUCCCCAGUGCUAUCAUUACGGUUAUCAGACCG
This 267-nucleotide long non-coding RNA is filed under the name Eucalyptus grandis. RNAcentral's name for it is "long non-coding RNA (EGRA_LNC002158)". The record is from RNAcentral. Lineage: Eukaryota; Viridiplantae; Streptophyta; Magnoliopsida; Myrtales; Myrtaceae.